CACAGACUGCUAGCCAGCAACAGUAAUUAAGGUAAGAGGAGCCAACUUGGCCUAGGCAUCAGCGAGCUAUGUUGUGUUGCUAUAUUGUGAAUAGGAACCAGAGUGUUGGAGAGACCACCCUCCAGGCCCCAUUAGACUCCAUUGUAGUCUCUAAUGGGGCCUGGAGGAGAUUCUUUCUAACACACUCUCUAAAGGACACUGAGAUAGCCUCUGCUAGAAA
This is a non-coding RNA of Pelobates cultripes (western spadefoot toad), 220 nucleotides long. Lineage: Eukaryota; Metazoa; Chordata; Amphibia; Anura; Pelobatidae. The record is from the annotation of a GenBank genome assembly.